UCAGACAAUUAUUAAAUUCACUUUGACACUGUACGAACCUCCAGAUCUGUACAGCUAGCUUUGGAUGGGAUGUGCAUGUCACUAGACUUGGGGAUAAGGGAAUUAAAGUCUAAUCAGGCUGCACAGCAAUCCGAUGAUUAAUUCAGCGUAAUAACUAGCAGGUGCAGAGCCUGUCGUGUGCAGGGAGUCCUUCUACACCAUGUCCAGCCACCACUAAACUACAUCCAAUGACACCGCCAGGAUCUUAGCCUGUGUGAGAGGGAAUCCUCAACUGAAUCAAGACCACUGAGCACUAUGACAGACCAUGGGUAGGAGCCAGGUGCUGGAACACUCUCCCCUCACAGGCACACAUCUGUUUCAGACGGGGCUGGGGAAAAAGAACACAUUACAGGAACAACUCUCACACUGACAGGAAGAAGGGGCAGCUGUUGUGAGAGAUAAAAAUCGUUCAUCUGCUGAGGGUGUACCUGGCUAGAAGCAGCAGCAGGGAUCCUGUGUCAUCAAGAGUCCCACCCACCCUGCAUAUGGACUGUCACCUACCUCCCCACGGGCAGAGAGCAGUAAGGCAUAAAAACCAGAACAUAGAAACCAGUUUCCAUUUAAGGUUUGGUAGACUCAAGAAUUUACUUUAGUCACUAAAUGUACGUCUUCUUUCCUUGCUGCCUAUUUGGUUUAAAGACUGCAUGACAUUUAUCUUUUGUAUUUACAGAAUUACUUAAGAUUUACAACCAUUCAAUUUAUAGUUUGGGUUAUUUCAUAUUUUGUUUCUUUAUGUCUGCAGCCACUUUAGUUGGUAAAACUGAAUUACAAAUGUAGUUCUCUCCAAGGCAGAUACUAUUUUACUAUUGAUACCAGCCAUUAGAUAGGUGCUAUUUCUUAAUUAUUUGUUAUGGUUUCUGUUUCUAUAUUAACAUUUCAAUUUUGUAAAAAA
Molecule: long non-coding RNA, 931 nt
Organism: Poecilia reticulata (guppy)
Lineage: Eukaryota; Metazoa; Chordata; Actinopteri; Cyprinodontiformes; Poeciliidae
Source: RefSeq, a predicted model, not a curated record